UCUGGUGGUCAUAGCGGAGGGGAAACACCCGGAUCCAUGCCGAACCCGGCAGUUAAGCCCUCCAGCGCCGAUGGUACUGCGAUGGGUAAUCGUGGGAGAGUAGGUCGCCGCCAGAA
Thermovirga lienii DSM 17291 is the source of this 116-nucleotide ribosomal RNA. Lineage: Bacteria; Thermotogati; Synergistota; Synergistia; Synergistales; Thermovirgaceae. The record is from Rfam.